This 76-nucleotide transfer RNA is filed under the name Candidatus Nitrosocosmicus oleophilus. Its description in RNAcentral is "tRNA-Met". It matches the Rfam family "tRNA". From Rfam's summary of the family: Transfer RNA (tRNA) molecules are approximately 80 nucleotides in length. Their secondary structure includes four short double-helical elements and three loops (D, anti-codon, and T loops). The record is from RNAcentral. RNAcentral also lists the same sequence under 1 other name. Lineage: Archaea; Thermoproteati; Nitrososphaerota; Nitrososphaeria; Nitrososphaerales; Nitrososphaeraceae.
GCCGGGGUAGCUCAGCCUGGUCAGAGCGUUCGACUCAUAAUCGAAAGGUCGCGGGCUCAAAUCCCGCCUCCGGCAC